This 405-nucleotide ribosomal RNA is filed under the name Triticum aestivum (bread wheat). RNAcentral describes it as "partial small subunit ribosomal RNA". Lineage: Eukaryota; Viridiplantae; Streptophyta; Magnoliopsida; Poales; Poaceae. The record is from RNAcentral.
AUGGCAUUAGAUGUAGGAUGGGAACUGCUUUGGAAGAGUAUGAACAUUAAUCAAGAAAAUGAUGUGCAAAACCUUAGGCGUAUAGGCUUGGAAAUUGUGCGUAAAUGUGAUGGGCUUCCCCUUGCAAUCAAAGUUACUGCUAGUGUUGUAGAAACUAAAGAGAGAACUCAUAAUGAGUGGAGAAAGAUUAUGGAGAGAAGUGCAUGGUCUAUGUGCAAUCUUCCAAUCGAGCUCAGAAGUGCUCUACAUUUGAGUUAUGAUGAUCUGCCACGGCAUUUGAAGCCAUGCUUCCUCUGUUUGAUCUUAUACCCAGAAGAUCAGUACAUGUACCGAGAUGAUCUUAUCAGGCUUUGGGUUGCUGAAGGCUUUGUUGAGGAGAAGAAGACCAACUUCUGGAGGAUAUAG